RNAcentral lists this unclassified non-coding RNA (289 nucleotides) under Hevea brasiliensis (rubber tree). The record is from RNAcentral. Lineage: Eukaryota; Viridiplantae; Streptophyta; Magnoliopsida; Malpighiales; Euphorbiaceae.
AGUGACUAUUCUUGUUGGUUUGUAAAGUAUCGAGUGAAUCUUGAAUUUUUGACCAAUUUGUAUCCGAUUAUGGUGAAUCAAGAAGUGUAUCCUCCUGAAGAUUACAACUUUCCAUAUGCGUUCAGUACCCUCUGUUUUCUAACAGAUGAAGAAGACAGAGCAAGGGUAUUGAUAUCACUUCCGGGGACGAUUGUUGUGUUUGAUAUACAUAACGGGACGGUGAAAGAGUUAGCUGACAUACAGCCUCAUUCUUUCAGAAAUUUCAUUGGUGACAGCAGGUCAAGCAUUU